RNAcentral lists this ribosomal RNA (460 nucleotides) under uncultured bacterium. Its description in RNAcentral is "partial 16S ribosomal RNA". It matches the Rfam family "Bacterial small subunit ribosomal RNA", at positions 338 to 795 of the family's 1533-position model. The record is from RNAcentral.
CCUACGGGAGGCAGCAGUGAGGAAUAUUGGUCAAUGGACGAGAGUCUGAACCAGCCAAGUAGCGUGAAGGAUGACUGCCCUAUGGGUUGUAAACUUCUUUUAUAUGGGAGUAAAAUGUUCCACGUGUGGGAUUUUGUAUGUACCAUAUGAAUAAGGAUCGGCUAACUCCGUGCCAGCAGCCGCGGUAAUACGGAGGAUCCGAGCGUUAUCCGGAUUUAUUGGGUUUAAAGGGAGCGUAGGUGGAUUGUUAAGUCAGUUGUGAAAGUUUGCGGCUCAACCGUAAAAUCGCAGUUGAAACUGGCAGUCUUGAGUGAAGUAGAGGUAGGCGGAAUUCGUGGUGUAGCGGUGAAAUGCGUAGAUAUCACGAAGAACUCCGAUUGCGAAGGCAGUUCACUGGACUGCAACUGACGCUGAGGCACGAAAGUGUGGGUAUCAAACAGGAUUAGAUACCCGAGUAGUC